RNAcentral lists this transfer-messenger RNA (359 nucleotides) under Gemmatimonadaceae. Its description in RNAcentral is "AG11 sp014378185 Standard tmRNA". It matches the Rfam family "transfer-messenger RNA". Rfam says of the family: Bacterial tmRNA, also known as 10Sa RNA or SsrA, is named for its dual tRNA and mRNA-like properties. RNAcentral also lists the same sequence under 1 other name. The record is from RNAcentral. Lineage: Bacteria; Pseudomonadati; Gemmatimonadota; Gemmatimonadia; Gemmatimonadales.
GGGGGCGACUGGCUUCGACGGGACUGGUGCAGCUGUGGGCGCGUGCCGAGGUCUUCGGGCACCUCGUUAAACACUCGGAAAAACUCCAACUGCGAACAACAACUUCGCCCUUGCCGCUUAACUUUUAGUUAGGCCUGCAAGUGCCCUUGAGGAAGCCCGCCCGGGGCGGCUUCAUGGGUAACGCAAAUCUGGGCUAGCUCCGACGUACGCCUUCGGCGGCGGAGCAAAACAAAGAGGGCUUAUCCUGCGGUGGGCUGCCCACUGGCCAGCUGUAGGAGACAUCAAUCAGAGGGAUACGCACGUAGUGCUUGUAGUCGAUCUAGCUUCGGACCGGGGUUCGAUUCCCCGCGCCUCCACUU